RNAcentral lists this ribosomal RNA (821 nucleotides) under uncultured eukaryote. Its description in RNAcentral is "SSU rRNA". It matches the Rfam family "Eukaryotic small subunit ribosomal RNA", at positions 629 to 1426 of the family's 1831-position model. The record is from RNAcentral.
CGGUGUUUAACUGGCGUGAUGUGGGACGUCCUACCGGUGGGCUUAGCCUCGCGAGGGGCGGCCCAACUAAUAUCCCGUCGCGGUGCUCUUUACUGAGUGUCGAGUCGGGCCGGUACGUUUACUUUGAACAAAUUAGAGUGCUUAAAGCAGGCUAUCCUCGCCUGAAUACUGCGUGCAUGGAAUAAUGGAAUAGGACCUCGGUUCUAUUUUGUUGGUUUUCGGAACCCCGAGGUAAUGAUUAAUAGGGACAGAUGGGGGCAUUCGUAUUGCGACGUUAGAGGUGAAAUUCUUGGAUCGUCGCAAGACGGACAGAAGCGAAAGCAUUUGCCAAAAAUGUUUUCAUUAAUCAAGAACGAAAGUUAGAGGUUCGAAGGCGAUCAGAUACCGCCCUAGUUCUAACCAUAAACGAUGCCAGCUAGCGAUCCGCCGAAGUUCCUCCGAUGACUCGGCGGGCAGCUUCCGGGAAACCAAAGCUUUUGGGUUCCGGGGGAAGUAUGGUUGCAAAGCUGAAACUUAAAGGAAUUGACGGAAGGGCACCCCCCGGAGUGGGAGCCUGCGGGCUUAAUUUGACUCAACACGGGAAACCUCACCAGGCCCAGACACCGGAAGGAUUGACAGAUUGAUAGCUCUUUCUUGAUUCGGUGGGUGGUGGUGCAUGGCCGUUCUUAGUUGGUGGAGCGAUUUGUCUGGUUAAUUCCGAUAACGAACGAGACUCUAGCCUGCUAAAUAGGCGUACCUUAUGGUAUCGCGAAGGCCCCCGGCUUCGGCCGGUGGGUUUUUACUACCAACGUACAAACAAAUCUUUUUAGAGGGACAGGCGG